Small nucleolar RNA from Labeo rohita (rohu), 138 nucleotides. RefSeq annotates it as small nucleolar RNA SNORA57. The transcript has a single exon. NCBI's taxonomy places the organism in Eukaryota, Metazoa, Chordata, Actinopteri, Cypriniformes, Cyprinidae. The record is from RefSeq and is a predicted model, not a curated record.
CCUCCUUUAGUUGGCACACAUGUAGUUGUUCAGUACUCAUGUGUGUAAUGGGUCGGAGGUAGAGAUAAGCCAGUGCUAUGUCUUCGGUGCCAGCAUAAUUAUUGUCUGCUGGUUCUAUCCUUAACCACUGGAACAUGA